GGGCGGUUAGGGUAGUCUGGAUAUCCUGAUGGGCUUCGGACCCGUCGACGCGGGUUCGAAUCCUGCACCGCUCAC
This 75-nucleotide transfer RNA is filed under the name Marine Group II euryarchaeote MED-G33. RNAcentral describes it as "tRNA-Arg(tcg)". It matches the Rfam family "tRNA". From Rfam's summary of the family: Transfer RNA (tRNA) molecules are approximately 80 nucleotides in length. Their secondary structure includes four short double-helical elements and three loops (D, anti-codon, and T loops). The record is from RNAcentral. Lineage: Archaea; Methanobacteriati; Thermoplasmatota; Candidatus Poseidoniia; Candidatus Poseidoniales. RNAcentral also lists the same sequence under 1 other name.